CUUAAGUUCAUUUUUCAGAUUUUAGAUACAAUGACUCUUUGUUUUAUUUAAUUUUUUUUGCCAUUACUAUUUUUAUUGUCUAGAUAAUAAAACAUGAAUAGUACUUUAUGCGUGAUUAUUUUUUUAAAAUUUUGUAUAAAUUUUUUAAAUAAGACGAAUGGUCAAACUUUGGACACAAAAAUCGAAAAAUGAUGUUAUU
RNAcentral lists this microRNA precursor (199 nucleotides) under Oryza brachyantha (malo sina). RNAcentral's name for it is "MIR812 microRNA precursor family". It matches the Rfam family "MIR812 microRNA precursor family". Lineage: Eukaryota; Viridiplantae; Streptophyta; Magnoliopsida; Poales; Poaceae. The record is from Rfam by way of RNAcentral.